RNAcentral lists this ribosomal RNA (503 nucleotides) under uncultured bacterium. RNAcentral's name for it is "partial 16S ribosomal RNA". It matches the Rfam family "Bacterial small subunit ribosomal RNA", at positions 30 to 523 of the family's 1533-position model. The record is from RNAcentral.
AUUGAACGCUGGCGGCAGGCUUAACACAUGCAAGUCGAGCGGGGUGAUGGUGCUUGCACUAUCACUUAGCGGCGGACGGGUGAGUAAUGCUUAGGAAUCUGCCUAUUAGUGGGGGACAACAUCUCGAAAGGGAUGCUAAUACCGCAUACGUCCUACGGGAGAAAGCAGGGGAUCACUUGUGACCUUGCGCUGAUAGAUGAGCCUAGGUCGGAUUAGCUAGUUGGUAGGGUAAAGGCCUACCAAGGCGACGAGCUGUAGCGGGUCUGAGAGGAUGAUCCGCCACACUGGGACUGAGACACGGCCCAGACUCCUACGGGAGGCAGCAGUGGGGAAUAUUGGACAAUGGGGGGAACCCUGAUCCAGCCAUGCCGCGUGUGUGAAGAAGGCCUUAUGGUUGUAAAGCACUUUAGGCGAGGAGGAGGCUCUUUUGGUUAAUACCCAAGAUGAGUGGACGUUACUCGCAGAAUAAGCACCGGCUAACUCUGUGCCAGCCGCCGCAGUAA